UACGGAGGGGGCUAGCGUUGUUCGGAAUCACUGGGCGUAAAGCGCACGUAGGCGGAUGUGUCAGUCAGGGGUGAAAUCCCGGGGCUCAACCUCGGAACUGCCUUUGAUACAGCACGUCUCGAGUCCGGAAGAGGUGGGUGGAAUUCCUAGUGUAGAGGUGAAAUUCGUAGAUAUUAGGAAGAACACCAGUGGCGAAGGCGGCUCACUGGCCCGGUACUGACGCUGAGGCGCGAAAGCGUGGGGAGCAAACAGG
RNAcentral lists this ribosomal RNA (253 nucleotides) under uncultured bacterium. Its description in RNAcentral is "partial 16S ribosomal RNA". It matches the Rfam family "Bacterial small subunit ribosomal RNA", at positions 524 to 776 of the family's 1533-position model. The record is from RNAcentral.